AACCAUAGGCCAUGAAUCUGGUCUUGGGACACUGUCAGGUGGGCAGUUUGACUGGGGCGGUCGCCUCCCAAAAGGUAACGGAGGCGCGCAAAGGUUCUCUCAGUACGGUCGGAAAUCGUACGUAGAGGGUAAAGGCAAAAGAGAGCUUGAUUGCAAGACAUACAGGUCGAGCAAGGAUGAAAAUCGGACUUAGUGAUCCGGUGGUUCUGCGUGGA
Molecule: ribosomal RNA, 215 nt
Filed under: Clostridioides difficile
Lineage: Bacteria; Bacillati; Bacillota; Clostridia; Peptostreptococcales; Peptostreptococcaceae
Description: partial 23S ribosomal RNA
Rfam family: Bacterial large subunit ribosomal RNA
Source: RNAcentral